GGGGCUGUAGCUCAGUGGUACAGCGCUUGCCUAGCAUGCAUGAGGCACUGGGUUCAAUCCUUAGCUUCA
This 69-nucleotide transfer RNA is filed under the name Ictidomys tridecemlineatus (thirteen-lined ground squirrel). Its description in RNAcentral is "Spermophilus tridecemlineatus (thirteen-lined ground squirrel) tRNA". It matches the Rfam family "tRNA". Rfam says of the family: Transfer RNA (tRNA) molecules are approximately 80 nucleotides in length. Their secondary structure includes four short double-helical elements and three loops (D, anti-codon, and T loops). The record is from Rfam by way of RNAcentral. Lineage: Eukaryota; Metazoa; Chordata; Mammalia; Rodentia; Sciuridae.